GAUUGCCUACGGGACGCAGCAGUGAGGAAUAUUGGUCAAUGGGCGCUAGCCUGAACCAGCCAAGUAGCGUGAAGGAUGACUGCCCUAUGGGGUGUAAACUUCUUUUAUAUGGGAAUAAAGUGCAGUAUGUAUACUGCUUUGCAUGUACCUUAUGAAUAAGGAUCGGCUAACUCCGUGCCAGCAGCCGCGGUAAUACGGAGGAUCCGAGCGUUAUCCGGAUUUAUUGGGUUUAAAGGGAGCGUUGGCGGGUUGUUAGGUCAG
Molecule: ribosomal RNA, 261 nt
Filed under: uncultured bacterium
Lineage: Bacteria
Description: partial 16S ribosomal RNA
Rfam family: Bacterial small subunit ribosomal RNA
Source: RNAcentral